UAAAUUUGCUUUGAUAAGCGUGGCCUGUAACCAGGAUCAUAGACCAAUUUUUCUCCUGCUGCGAUGGAUUUAUUUCCUCUACAUGUUAACCUGGGUUUUUCAUCAUUGAAGGUUUUGAAGACUUAAGCAAAUAGACUAAAGCACAAGUAAAUGAUAAGGACGAGUUUUGAUUAAUUUUUGUUUUCAUUGGCCUAAUUUAUAAUUUUAAUGGUGGCAGCAGGUAACAUUUCUAAUGUGUACAAGAAAUUUCUUUUAUUUUUCCAAUAGAGUCUUUUUAUUUUUCCAAUAGAGUCUUUUUAUUUAUAAUCGGUAUGAAGUAAAUUUAAUUUCCAUCAACACUAAGGUACCUCACAUUUAGUAGAAGUCGACGAAAUCCUUUUCAUUUUCAAAGAUGAACUAUUAGAAAGAAAAAAAAAUACUUUUUCUAUGACUUUAAUUUCAUCUCCAAACUAUAUACAUAGUUCUACCUUAUUCUCAAUUUUUAAAAUAACAAAAUAGUAUUCUGAAAUUAAAGUAGCUCACUCACAAACACAUAUCUCUUUCUCUCUUCUUGGUAACUUGUUAACCUAUUUUUCUUAAUUUGGGGAUUAUAUUCUAGCUUAUUUAUUGAAUUUAUUACAAACUAAUGUCUAAUUCUUGAAUUCAACCGUUACAAAAAUUCCUUUUGAUUUAUUUAAGUUCUCUACAUAAGUCCAUUUACUGCGCCCAUCGAGACAAAGUUUGCAUAUGAGAGAAAAAGGAAAAUAUAUGUCAAGUGAAUGUUUAGAGAUAAAGUUUGGGAUUACUAGGAUGGAAUAUGAAGAGAGAAAAUAUAGAAAAGUGUACAAAGAAAAAGGAAAAGGAAAAAGAAAAAGAACUAGAUAUUAGGGAAGUUGAUCCCAUCAAUAUGUACGACAGAGAUGCAUUUAAUUGAUAUUUCUUCUUUUUCCAAAAUUUUCUAAUUCUUUUUAUUUUCUUCUUUUAGUCUUUUAUUUGAUGAAAAAAUGUGAAUCUUAUGAACAGGUGUCGAGAAAUCAUACUAAUGGCCUUAGAAGAAGAAGAAAAAGGAGGUCAAAUCUCCGGUUUACAUCCCAAUAUCUUUUUCAUACUUUAAUUUUAAUAUUCUACUUUUUCAAGUUCACAUAUACUAAUUUCUUAAAUGAGUUGUUUCAUAUUUAAUCUAAUUUGUUUAUAGGUUGUCUUUUAAGAAAUUAUUAAAUAUGUUUCAUUAAUAAAAAAAUAUUUUCUUU
Molecule: long non-coding RNA, 1229 nt
Organism: Lycium ferocissimum
Lineage: Eukaryota; Viridiplantae; Streptophyta; Magnoliopsida; Solanales; Solanaceae
Exons: 2
Source: RefSeq, a predicted model, not a curated record